ACGAACGCUGGCGGCGUGCUUAACACAUGCAAGUCGAACGGAAAGGCCCUGCUUUUGUGGGGUGCUCGAGUGGCGAACGGGUGAGUAACACGUGAGUAACCUACCCUUGACUUUGGGAUAACUUCAGGAAACUGGGGCUAAUACCGGAUAGGAGCUCCUGCUGCAUGGUGGGGGUUGGAAAGUUUCGGCGGUUGGGGAUGGACUCGCGGCUUAUCAGCUUGUUGGUGGGGUAGUGGCUUACCAAGGCUUUGACGGGUAGCCGGCCUGAGAGGGUGACCGGCCACAUUGGGACUGAGAUACGGCCCAGACUCCUACGGGCGGCAGCAGUGGGGAAUAUUGCACAAUGGGCGGAAGCCUGAUGCAGCAACGCCGCGUGCGGGAUGACGGCCUUCGGGUUGUAAACCGCUUUCGCCUGUGACGAAGCGUGAGUGACGGUAAUGGGUAAAGAAGCACCGGCUAACUACGUG
RNAcentral lists this ribosomal RNA (467 nucleotides) under uncultured bacterium. Its description in RNAcentral is "partial 16S ribosomal RNA". It matches the Rfam family "Bacterial small subunit ribosomal RNA", at positions 29 to 507 of the family's 1533-position model. The record is from RNAcentral.